CAAGAUGAUGGGGGAAAGGGUCAGAAAAGUACUAGUGAGGAAUUGGAAGAUUAUGCCGAUUCAGAUUCUGGCAACGAUCGGGGAGAAGAUGGGGGAGAAGAUCAGGAAGACGAGCCUAUUGUUAGUAGGGAUAUAAAUGAGGGAUCUCAACUUGCUUGCAACACCCAGUCGCUAGACAUUGAUAUCACCGGCUUUACUGCAACACAAAGAGAUGGUACACAAGAAGUUGACAUCACCGGGCUGCAGAGUCAACAAAAUGAUGAUGAAAUACAAGUUCAAAGCAAGGAGAAAGGUAUCCCUCAAGGCAAAGAAGA
Panicum virgatum (switchgrass) is the source of this 314-nucleotide long non-coding RNA. RefSeq lists it as uncharacterized. The record is from RefSeq and is a predicted model, not a curated record. Lineage: Eukaryota; Viridiplantae; Streptophyta; Magnoliopsida; Poales; Poaceae. The transcript has 3 exons.